AUCAAAAUAAAAACAUAUAUAAUUAUAUUAGUAUUGGAGGAAAAAUCUGAAAAUGCAUUGUUAUGAUGAUUAUUAAAUGUUUUAUUAUUUUAUUAUUUUAGCUUCAAACAGACUAUGAAACACUGUCAUUAUUCAUGCUGAAAUAAAUUGAAAAUAAAUGUAUCUCAAGAAUAACAAGUUUUUUAUAGCAUAGUGCACAGAUACAAAUUAGAUAGACACAGUUAAUAGAAAACUCAAUCAAAACUGCUUGUUUAAGUUGAAGCCUGUUUCUGUUGUGUCGUUUGUUUUCUCUUAUAUUUGAGUGGGAAUUCACAUUACUAUAAGACGUGUCACGG
This 335-nucleotide long non-coding RNA is filed under the name Mytilus galloprovincialis (Mediterranean mussel). Lineage: Eukaryota; Metazoa; Mollusca; Bivalvia; Mytilida; Mytilidae. The record is from RNAcentral.